This 279-nucleotide ribosomal RNA is filed under the name uncultured bacterium. RNAcentral describes it as "partial 16S ribosomal RNA". It matches the Rfam family "Bacterial small subunit ribosomal RNA", at positions 506 to 784 of the family's 1533-position model. The record is from RNAcentral.
UGCCAGCAGCCGCGGUAAGACGGAGGGUGCAAACGUUGUUCGGAAUCACUGGGCAUAAAGCGCGCGUAGGCGGUCCGCUAAGUCAGGUGUGAAAUCCCCCGGCUCAACCGGGGAACUGCAUCUGAUACUGGCGAACUAGAGGAUGGUAGGGGUGAGCGGAACUCCAGGUGGAGCGGUGAAAUGCGUAGAUAUCUGGAGGAACACCGGUGGCGAAAGCGGCUCACUGGGCCAUCUCUGACGCUGAGGCGCGAAAGCUAGGGUAGCAAACGGGAUUAGAUA